GGUUAAGCGACUAAGCGUACACGGUGGAUGCCCUGGCAGUCAGAGGCGAUGAAGGACGUGCUAAUCUGCGAUAAGCGCCGGUAAGGUGAUAUGAACCGUUAUAACCGGCGAUUUCCGAAUGGGGAAACCCAGUGUGACUCGUCACACUAUCAUUAACUGAAUCCAUAGGUUAAUGAGGCGAACCGGGGGAACUGAAACAUCUAAGUACCCCGAGGAAAAGAAAUCAACCGAGAUUCCCCCAGUAGCGGCGAGCGAACGGGGAGGAGCCCAGAGCCUGAAUCAGCAUGUGUGUUAGUGGAAGCGUCUGGAAAGGCGCGCGAUACAGGGUGACAGCCCCGUACACAAAAGCGCAUGUGCUGUGAGCUCGAUGAGUAGGGCGGGACACGUGGUAUCCUGUCUGAAUAUGGGGGGACCAUCCUCCAAGGCUAAAUACUCCUGACUGACCGAUAGUGAACCAGUACCGUGAGGGAAAGGCGAAAAGAACCCCGGCGAGGGGAGUGAAAAAGAACCUGAAACCGUGUACGUACAAGCAGUGGGAGCACAGGUUUACCUGUGUGACUGCGUACCUUUUGUAUAAUGGGUCAGCGACUUAUAUUCUGUAGCAAGGUUAACCGUAUAGGGGAGCCGGAGGGAAACCGAGUCUUAACCGGGCGUUAAGUUGCAGGGUAUAGACCCGAAACCCGGUGAUCUAGCCAUGGGCAGGUUGAAGGUUGGGUAACACUAACUGGAGGACCGAACCGACUAAUGUUGAAAAAUUAGCGGAUGACCUGUGGCUGGGGGUGAAAGGCCAAUCAAACCGGGAGAUAGCUGGUUCUCCCCGAAAGCUAUUUAGGUAGCGCCUCGUGAAUUCAUCUCCGGGGGUAGAGCACUGUUUCGGCUAGGGGGCCAUCCCGGCUUACCAACCCGAUGCAAACUGCGAAUACCGGAGAAUGUUAUCACGGGAGACACACGGCGGGUGCUAACGUCCGUCGUGAAGAGGGAAACAACCCAGACCGCCAGCUAAGGUCCCAAAGUCAUGGUUAAGUGGGAAACGAUGUGGGAAGGCCCAGACAGCCAGGAUGUUGGCUUAGAAGCAGCCAUCAUUUAAAGAAAGCGUAAUAGCUCACUGGUCGAGUCGGCCUGCGCGGAAGAUGUAACGGGGCUAAACCAUGCACCGAAGCUGCGGCAGCGAACGUAUCACCCAAGACAACUUUACGGAGUUGACGAUUGACGGAGCGAAGCGACGUCAAAGCGUUCAUUAAAGUCGAGUUGGCUUAGGGAUACGUUCGUUGGGUAGGGGAGCGUUCUGUAAGCCUGUGAAGGUGUGUCGUGAGGCAUGCUGGAGGUAUCAGAAGUGCGAAUGCUGACAUAAGUAACGAUAAAGCGGGUGAAAAGCCCGCUCGCCGGAAGACCAAGGGUUCCUGUCCAACGUUAAUCGGGGCAGGGUGAGUCGACCCCUAAGGCGAGGCCGAAAGGCGUAGUCGAUGGGAAACGGGUUAAUAUUCCCGUACUUGGUGUUACUGCGAAGGGGGGACGGAGAAGGCUAUGUUGGCCGGGCGACGGUUGUCCCGGUUUAAGCGUGUAGGUGUGUGUUCCAGGUAAAUCCGGUUCACUUUAACACUGAGGCGUGACGACGAGGCACUACGGUGCUGAAGCAACAAAUGCCCUGCUUCCAGGAAAAGCCUCUAAGCAUCAGGUAACAUCAAAUCGUACCCCAAACCGACACAGGUGGUCAGGUAGAGAAUACCAAGGCGCUUGAGAGAACUCGGGUGAAGGAACUAGGCAAAAUGGUGCCGUAACUUCGGGAGAAGGCACGCUGACACGUAGGUGAAGUGAUUUACUCAUGGAGCUGAAGUCAGUCGAAGAUACCAGCUGGCUGCAACUGUUUAUUAAAAACACAGCACUGUGCAAACACGAAAGUGGACGUAUACGGUGUGACGCCUGCCCGGUGCCGGAAGGUUAAUUGAUGGGGUCAGCGCAAGCGAAGCUCCUGAUCGAAGCCCCGGUAAACGGCGGCCGUAACUAUAACGGUCCUAAGGUAGCGAAAUUCCUUGUCGGGUAAGUUCCGACCUGCACGAAUGGCGUAAUGAUGGCCAGGCUGUCUCCACCCGAGACUCAGUGAAAUUGAACUCGCUGUGAAGAUGCAGUGUACCCGCGGCAAGACGGAAAGACCCCGUGAACCUUUACUAUAGCUUGACACUGAACAUUGAGCCUUGAUGUGUAGGAUAGGUGGGAGGCUUUGAAGUGUGGACGCCAGUCUGCAUGGAGCCGACCUUGAAAUACCACCCUUUAAUGUUUGAUGUUCUAACGUGGACCCGUAAUCCGGGUUGCGGACAGUGUCUGGUGGGUAGUUUGACUGGGGCGGUCUCCUCCUAAAGAGUAACGGAGGAGCACGAAGGUUGGCUAAUCCUGGUCGGACAUCAGGAGGUUAGUGCAAUGGCAUAAGCCAGCUUGACUGCGAGCGUGACGGCGCGAGCAGGUGCGAAAGCAGGUCAUAGUGAUCCGGUGGUUCUGAAUGGAAGGGCCAUCGCUCAACGGAUAAAAGGUACUCCGGGGAUAACAGGCUGAUACCGCCCAAGAGUUCAUAUCGACGGCGGUGUUUGGCACCUCGAUGUCGGCUCAUCACAUCCUGGGGCUGAAGUAGGUCCCAAGGGUAUGGCUGUUCGCCAUUUAAAGUGGUACGCGAGCUGGGUUUAGAACGUCGUGAGACAGUUCGGUCCCUAUCUGCCGUGGGCGCUGGAGAACUGAGGGGGGCUGCUCCUAGUACGAGAGGACCGGAGUGGACGCAUCACUGGUGUUCGGGUUGUCAUGCCAAUGGCACUGCCCGGUAGCUAAAUGCGGAAGAGAUAAGUGCUGAAAGCAUCUAAGCACGAAACUUGCCCCGAGAUGAGUUCUCCCUGAGACUUAGAGUCUCCUGAAGGAACGUUGAAGACGACGACGUUGAUAGGCCGGGUGUGUAAGCGCAGCGAUGCGUUGAGCUAACCGGUACUAAUGAACCGUGAGGCUUAACCUU
RNAcentral lists this ribosomal RNA (2992 nucleotides) under Salmonella enterica subsp. enterica. RNAcentral's name for it is "23S ribosomal RNA". It matches the Rfam family "Bacterial large subunit ribosomal RNA". Lineage: Bacteria; Pseudomonadati; Pseudomonadota; Gammaproteobacteria; Enterobacterales; Enterobacteriaceae. The record is from RNAcentral.